GAUGAACGCUGGCGGCGUGCCUAAUACAUGCAAGUCGAGCGAACGGACGAGAAGCUUGCUUUUCUGAUGUUAGCGGCGGACGGGUGAGUAACACGUGGAUAACCUACCUAUAAGACUGGGAUAACUUCGGGAAACCGGAGCUAAUACCGGAUAAUAUUUUGAACCGCAUGGUUCAUAAGUGAAAGACGGUCUUGCUGUCACUUAUAGAUGGAUCCGCGCUGCAUUAGCUAGUUGGUAAGGUAACGGCUUACCAAGGCAACGAUGCAUAGCCGACCUGAGAGGGUGAUCGGCCACACUGGAACUGAGACACGGUCCAGACUCCUACGGGAGGCAGCAGUAGGGAAUCUUCCGCAAUGGUCGAAAGCCUGACGGAGCAACGCCGCGUGAGUGAUGAAGGUCUUCGGAUCGUAAAACUCUGUUAUUAGGGAAGAACAUAUGUGUAAGUAACUGUGCACAUCUUGACGGUACCUAAUCAGAAAGCCACGGCUAACUACGUG
Molecule: ribosomal RNA, 497 nt
Filed under: uncultured bacterium
Lineage: Bacteria
Description: partial 16S ribosomal RNA
Rfam family: Bacterial small subunit ribosomal RNA
Source: RNAcentral